GAUGAACGCUGGCGGCGUGCUUAACACAUGCAAGUCGAACGAUGAAGCCCAGCUUGCUGGGUGGAUUAGUGGCGAACGGGUGAGUAACACGUGAGUAACCUGCCCUUGACUCUGGGAUAAGCCUGGGAAACUGGGUCUAAUACUGGAUAUGACUCCUCAUCGCAUGGUGGGGGGUGGAAAGAUUUAUUGGUCUUGGAUGGACUCGCGGCCUAUCAGCUUGUUGGUGAGGUAAUGGCUCACCAAGGCGACGACGGGUAGCCGGCCUGAGAGGGUGACCGGCCACACUGGGACUGAGGAACGGCCCAGACUCCUACGGGAGGCAGCAGUGGGGAAUAUUGCACAAUGGGCGCAAGCCUGAUGCAGCGACGCCGCGUGAGGGAUGACGGCCUUCGGGUUGUAAACCUCUUUCAGUAGGGAAGAAGCGAGAGUGACGGUACCUGCAGAAGAAGCGCCGGCUAACUACGUG
RNAcentral lists this ribosomal RNA (466 nucleotides) under uncultured bacterium. RNAcentral describes it as "partial 16S ribosomal RNA". It matches the Rfam family "Bacterial small subunit ribosomal RNA", at positions 28 to 507 of the family's 1533-position model. The record is from RNAcentral.